GAUGAACGCUAGCGGCAGGCCUAACACAUGCAAGUCGAGGGAGAAGCCCUUUCGGGGGCAGAAACCGGCGCACGGGUGCGUAACGCGUAUGCAACCUACCUUUCACAGGUGGAUAGCCCGAAGAAAUUUGGAUUAAUACCCCAUAAUAUUAUUGGAUGGCAUCAUUUGAUAAUUAAAACUGCGGUGGUGAAAGAUGGGCAUGCGUCCUAUUAGCUAGUUGGAGUGGUAACGGCACCCCAAGGCUACGAUAGGUAGGGGUCCUGAGAGGGAGAUCCCCCACACUGGUACUGAGACAGGGACCAGACUCCUACGGGAGGCAGCAGUGAGGAAUAUUGGUCAAUGGUCGGAAGACUGAACCAGCCAUGCCGCGUGCAGGAAGAAUGCCUUAUGGGUUGUAAACUGCUUUUAUAUGGGAAGAAUAAGGCGUACGUGUACGUUGAUGAUGGUACCAUAUGAAUAAGCAUCGGCUAACUCCGUG
This 478-nucleotide ribosomal RNA is filed under the name uncultured bacterium. Its description in RNAcentral is "partial 16S ribosomal RNA". It matches the Rfam family "Bacterial small subunit ribosomal RNA", at positions 28 to 507 of the family's 1533-position model. The record is from RNAcentral.